RNAcentral lists this ribosomal RNA (421 nucleotides) under uncultured bacterium. Its description in RNAcentral is "bacterial SSU rRNA". It matches the Rfam family "Bacterial small subunit ribosomal RNA", at positions 358 to 772 of the family's 1533-position model. The record is from RNAcentral.
GGAAUUGUUCACAAUGGGCGCAAGCCUGAUGACGCAACGCCGCGUGGAGGAUGAAGGUCUUCGGAUUGUAAGCUCCUGUUGCCCGGGACGAACGGCUCCAACCUAACACGUUGGAGUGUGACGGUACCGGGUGAGGAAGCCCCGGCUAACUCGUUGCCAGCAGCCGCGGUAAUACCGAGGGGGCAAGCGUUGUUCGGAAUUACUGGGCGUACAGGGCGCGUAGGCGGCCUGCUCAGUCGAACGUGAAAUCCCCGGGCUCAACCCGGGAACUGCGUCCGAUACUGGAAGGCUCGAAUCCGGGAGAGGGAUGUGGAAUUCCAGGUGUAGCGGUGAAAUGCGUAGAUAUCUGGAGGAACACCGGUGGCGAAGGCGACAUCCUGGACCGGUAUUGACGCUGAGGCGCGAAAGCCAGGGGAGCAAA